Molecule: ribosomal RNA, 445 nt
Filed under: uncultured bacterium
Lineage: Bacteria
Description: bacterial SSU rRNA
Rfam family: Bacterial small subunit ribosomal RNA
Source: RNAcentral
GAUCCUGGCUCAGAACGAACGCUGGCGGCAUGCCUAACACAUGCAAGUCGAACGAGACCUUCGGGUCUAGUGGCGCACGGGUGCGUAACGCGUGGGAAUCUGCCCUUUGCUUCGGAAUAACAGUUAGAAAUGACUGCUAAUACCGGAUGAUGUCUUCGGACCAAAGAUUUAUCGGCAAAGGAUGAGCCCGCGUAGGAUUAGGUAGUUGGUGGGGUAAAGGCCUACCAAGCCGACGAUCCUUAGCUGGUCUGAGAGGAUGAUCAGCCACACUGGGACUGAGACACGGCCCAGACUCCUACGGGAGGCAGCAGUGGGGAAUAUUGGACAAUGGGCGCAAGCCUGAUCCAGCAAUGCCGCGUGAGUGAUGAAGGCCUUCGGGUCGUAAAGCUCUUUACCAGGGAUGAUAAUGACAGUACCUGGAGAAUAAGCUCCGGCUAACUCCGUG